AAAAAAGAAACAAAAAUCGAAAAAGGUUAUUGAUUGAAAAAAGUAUUGAGAUAGAAUCCACACCUUCACGAAAAAAACCAAAAAAAAAAAAUUCACACAUUCAUUACAAAAUCUCACACUAUUCAAUUAAAAGUUCAGAUCAUCGUCUAUAU
This 152-nucleotide small RNA is filed under the name Arabidopsis thaliana (thale cress). RNAcentral's name for it is "ATSL153760". The record is from RNAcentral. Lineage: Eukaryota; Viridiplantae; Streptophyta; Magnoliopsida; Brassicales; Brassicaceae.